This 384-nucleotide ribosomal RNA is filed under the name uncultured soil bacterium. RNAcentral describes it as "bacterial SSU rRNA". It matches the Rfam family "Bacterial small subunit ribosomal RNA", at positions 26 to 442 of the family's 1533-position model. The record is from RNAcentral.
AGAACGAACGCUGGCGGCAUGCCUAAUACAUGCAAGUCGAACGAACUCUUCGGAGUUAGUGGCGCACGGGUGCGUAACGCGUGGGAAUCUGCCCCUUGGUUCGGAAUAACAGUUGGAAACGACUGCUAAUACCGGAUGAUGACGAAAGUCCAAAGAUUUAUCGCCAAGGGAUGAGCCCGCGUAGGAUUAGCUAGUUGGUGAGGUAAAGGCUCACCAAGGCAACGAUCCUUAGCUGGUCUGAGAGGAUGAUCAGCCACACUGGACUGAGACACGGCCCAGACUCCUACGGGAGCAGCAGUAGGGAUAGUGGACAAUGGGCGAAAGCCUGGAUCCAGGCAAUGCCGCGUGAGUGAUGAAGGCCUUAGGUGUAAGCUCUUUACCGAG